UUACUGCACUAGGGGUGCCCAUUAUGGCUGAGAUGCAAGCGCAAGCUUCGAUCCCUUAUAACUCGAUCAGGUUAGGACCUGCGUGAGGAAGUGCGGCGCAUUUCUG
Regulatory RNA element from Planomicrobium sp., 106 nucleotides. It matches the Rfam family "TPP riboswitch aptamer (THI element)". Rfam says of the family: Vitamin B(1) in its active form thiamin pyrophosphate (TPP) is an essential coenzyme that is synthesised by coupling of pyrimidine and thiazole moieties in bacteria. The previously detected thiamin-regulatory element, thi box was extended, resulting in a new, highly conserved RNA secondary structure, the THI element, which is widely distributed in eubacteria and also occurs in some archaea. Analysis of operon structures identified a large number of new candidate thiamin-regulated genes, mostly transporters, in various prokaryotic organisms. The record is from Rfam. NCBI's taxonomy places the organism in Bacteria, Bacillati, Bacillota, Bacilli, Caryophanales, Caryophanaceae.